GAAAUGCGAUACUUGGUGUGAAUUGCAGAACCGUGAGUCAUCAGAUUUUUGAACGCAACUGGCGCUGGCUGGGUCUCCAGCCAGCAUGCUUGUUUCAGUGUCUUGUUUUCUCCUCACCCAAAACUUAAUGCGAGAGAUACCCUUCUCUUGUUAAGCAUGAAAGCACUCUUCUCUCUGCGAGUGACUCUUGACUUGUUCAGGAGUCGCACCCAAUGCAGACGUCACAUUUCUAACAAUGUGAACUCAUUGGGAGUAGAGGAUGUCAGCUCACGCUGUCAGUGCUUAGUCACUUAAACUUUCUUUGCAUCUGAAAUCAAGCAGGAUCACCCGCUGAACUUAA
This 340-nucleotide unclassified non-coding RNA is filed under the name uncultured fungus. Its description in RNAcentral is "sequence contains ITS1". The stretch from base 1 to 103 matches the Rfam family "5.8S ribosomal RNA", at positions 50 to 154 of the family's 154-position model. Lineage: Eukaryota; Fungi. The record is from RNAcentral.